GACGUAGGGGGCAAGCGUUAUUCGGAAUUAUUGGGCGUAAAGCGCUCGUAGGCGGGACUGGAAGUCCGUGUUGAAAGACCUCGGCUCAACUGAGGGACCGGCUCGGAUACUCUAGUUCUUGAGGCAAUCAGAGGGUGAUGGAAUUCCCGGUGUAGCGGUGAAAUGCGUAGAUAUCGGGAAGAACACCGGUGGCGAAGGCGGUUCUCUGGGCCUGUACUGACGCUGAGGAGCGAAAGCGUGGGGAGCGAACAGG
RNAcentral lists this ribosomal RNA (253 nucleotides) under uncultured bacterium. RNAcentral describes it as "partial 16S ribosomal RNA". It matches the Rfam family "Bacterial small subunit ribosomal RNA", at positions 524 to 776 of the family's 1533-position model. The record is from RNAcentral.